UAACCGUGGGCAGUGAACAUGUGGGCCGCGUUCCAAUUCUACUGAAGUGUGGAGAAGAGGAUGUUCGAUUUGCCGAGUCUGUGCGUCGACGCCGAACGAGAAAUUUCAAGCUACUCGUUCGUUAACGAUGUACACGCGCAUGCUGCCAUUUAUCCUAAUCAAAUGUAAACACGAGACAGGUCCAUGAUGUUGCCAGUGAACGAAACUGGAGAUCCUGUACCGUACGGACUCCAAUUUAAACCAAACACGGAGACCUAUAUUACCGAAACUGCUUCAAGAAUGCGAUGCUCAGGGUUCCCCGUCGAAUUCCACCGGGCAAGAUACCGAAGGCUGAUGCAAGAUGGACACAUUCGAUUGAUUUCGCCGGGGAAGAGUCGAGCAGCCCAUGCAGGGCCCCGGCGGAGAGAGAUGCACGGAGAGGCCGCGGCUGGGAACGGAGCCGGGCAGCGAGAGGCUGCGGGGGAAGUGGAUGCCAGGCCGCGUGUGUUGAUGCAAGUGCGG
Colletes gigas is the source of this 501-nucleotide long non-coding RNA. RefSeq lists it as uncharacterized. The record is from RefSeq and is a predicted model, not a curated record. The transcript is spliced from 3 exons. Lineage: Eukaryota; Metazoa; Arthropoda; Insecta; Hymenoptera; Colletidae.